CUUCUGCAUAUCUUUACAAACAGCAAAGAACUCCAAGGUUGUUAAACCAAUUUUAAUGUCAUUUUAAGACUUUAUGGUAGCAUAAAAACAGGCUGCAGAUUUUCCAGAAGUUGAAUUGUUAGUUGCAUGCAAAUUCCAUAAUGACAUAACAUCCACCUAUUGGUACACUUACCUCUUGCUCUAUUUGACCAGUAUUGGAAUGCCUCCAAGGGCAAUGGUAAAUGGCAUUACUCUGAAUCCAACAAGUAGAGUGGCAUGUGUCAGCUGCCGCAAUGCCUUUGCAAUGGUUUUUAUACUCCGUUACAUUAUUCCAUGAUUUAACUUGUCUUACCUGUAAAUAUGCUCUAAUACUGGACAAACAAACAGUUUUACUCUUGUCUAUUUUCUUGAACCAAUAAUUAGGGAAGGUUGCUAGCCUAAUCGUAUAUUCGAUUGGCUUUUUGAUCAUAUCUUCAACAAUGAUACAUCAGGAAUUGAAAUCAAGAAGCAGGGUGAAGCAAGUAGCUCAGGAGACUGUUCGCCAUAGUAGUUCUUGGACCCGAUGAUUGAAAAAUGGCCUGUAUUAUAGAUAGCUGGCAUUUAUGUGUUAACUAGAGUUAUAACGAAUAUAUCAUAGGUGUUUCUUGCUCUCUAUGUAAUCAAUGAUCUACACAUGAGCCAAUCUUCCAAGGCUUUGGUUCCCGACAUCAUCUAUUUGUGCAGCUUCAUUGCAUCAGUCAUGCUCCAGUUGCAUGUAGGAGCUCAAAUGGAGCAGUCACAAGUUGAAGGAAUUCUUUUCAGUAGGAGGCCUCCUUUGCCUAUUUUGUGGUGCUGUAGUACUCUCCCUACCGAUGAACGAAUUGCCAAUGCCUUCAUGAUGGUAACUUCAGUAGGCAUGGAAAGUGAGCUAGUUGAUAAACAAGUUGAGGGAUCUGCUUUUGUUGAUGGAUCAUUACACGUUUAUUGUGUGGUGUAAUGCUGUACAUCUAGAGUCAUACUAGAGUGUAACACCAGCAUCAUGUAAUCAAUCCAGCAUAUCGUUGUUUCACAGUUACACGAUUUUCAUUGGGAUUCAUUCUGGGAGUUGCUGCAUUAGUUGGCGUCAUAGUUACAUGUUUUACAAACUUCAGACCUUCACAUCCAAUGCCCGUGGCAGAACCCUUGUUGGCAUAGCUUUCAGAAGGAUUGAAUUGAUGUACUUUUGAAGUUACAUAUUUGAGAUUAAGGCAUGGUUGAUUGGUUGAAGUUGCACAUUAUAAAUUUUAAGUCUAGUAAUAAGCUAGAAGCUCUAUUGCUCUGUA
This is a non-coding RNA of Nicotiana tabacum (common tobacco), 1280 nucleotides long. Lineage: Eukaryota; Viridiplantae; Streptophyta; Magnoliopsida; Solanales; Solanaceae. The record is from RefSeq and is a predicted model, not a curated record.